UCUCGGCAUUCCGCAAACGGGAAGGACGAAACGGCUGAAACCUGGUUCAGUGCCUAGCCUAUUCGCGCCAUUGGCGACUGAAGAAAGGGAAGCUGGGUCCCGACACGAAGCCCCUCACAGUGCUGACCCUGGCACAUGCGCGGUAGGUGCCUAUGGGGAGGUGACGGCAAGUCAACUGGAGGCAACACACGAAGGAGAUGGAGCAUCUGAAGUCACGCGUUCCACGCGAGACUUUGGCUGUCAAGUGACCACCCCGUGCAGGGAGCGAAUGGAUCGAUGCAAGAAGAAAUAAGCCAGGAAUACAGAGAGCUGCCUCACGAAUUCC
Ornithodoros turicata is the source of this 325-nucleotide long non-coding RNA. RefSeq lists it as uncharacterized. The record is from RefSeq and is a predicted model, not a curated record. NCBI's taxonomy places the organism in Eukaryota, Metazoa, Arthropoda, Arachnida, Ixodida, Argasidae. The transcript has 3 exons.